UCUAAUAUGGCAGAUUAGUGCAAUGGAUUUAAGCUUCGUAUAUAAAGGAAUGCCCUUUUAUUAGAA
Molecule: transfer RNA, 66 nt
Filed under: Simulium aureohirtum
Lineage: Eukaryota; Metazoa; Arthropoda; Insecta; Diptera; Simuliidae
Description: tRNA-Leu
Source: RNAcentral